RNAcentral lists this ribosomal RNA (494 nucleotides) under uncultured bacterium. Its description in RNAcentral is "bacterial SSU rRNA". It matches the Rfam family "Bacterial small subunit ribosomal RNA", at positions 43 to 507 of the family's 1533-position model. The record is from RNAcentral.
CGUGCCUAACACAUGCAAGUCGAACGGAGAUUAAGAUGAAGCUUGCGAUUCUUAAUCUUAGUGGCGGACGGGUGAGUAACGCGUGGGUAAUCUGCCCAUAAGAGGGGGAUAACACCGGGAAACUGGUGCUAAUACCGCAUAAGCUGCGAGAGUCGCAUGGCUUUAGCAGUAAAGGUGGCCUCUGAAUAUGCUACCGCUUAUGGAUGAGCCCGCGUCUGAUUAGCUAGUUGGUGGGGUAAAGGCCUACCAAGGCGACGAUCAGUAGCCGGCCUGAGAGGGUGUACGGCCACACUGGAACUGAGACACGGUCCAGACUCCUACGGGAGGCAGCAGUGGGGAAUAUUGCGCAAUGGGGGAAACCCUGACGCAGCGACGCCGCGUGAGCGACGAAGGCUUUCGGGUUGUAAAGCUCUGUUCUAAGGGACGAAGUGCUCUUCUGUGAAUAAUGGGAGAGAGCGACGGUACCUUAGGAGAAAGCCCCGGCUAACUACGUG